Molecule: ribosomal RNA, 523 nt
Filed under: uncultured fungus
Lineage: Eukaryota; Fungi
Description: SSU rRNA
Rfam family: Eukaryotic small subunit ribosomal RNA
Source: RNAcentral
CGAUGGUUCAUUCAAAUUUCUGCCCUAUCAAGUUUCGAUGGUAGGAUAGAGGCCUACCAUGCUUUUUACGGGUAACGGCGAAUUAGGGUUCGAUUCCGGAGAGGGAGCCUGAGAAACGGCUACCACAUCUAAGGAAGGCAGCAGGCGCGCAAAUUACCCAAUCCUGAUUCAGGGAGGUAGUGACAAUAAAUAACAAUCCAGGACUUCGGUCUUGGAAUUGGAAUGAGAACAAUUUAAAUCUCUUAUCGAGGAACAAUUGGAGGGCAAGUCUGGUGCCAGCAGCCGCGGUAAUUCCAGCUCCAAUAGCGUAUAUUAAAGUUGUUGCAGUUAAAUAGCUCGUAGUUGAAUCUUGGGGCUGGUUUGGCGGUCGCGUCUUUGACGUGUACUGUCGGCCGGUUCUUUUACUUGUGGGGAACGUAUGUGCCCUUUGCGGGGUGUGUACGGGAACCAUGGCUGUUACUUUGAAAAAAUUAGAGUGUUUAAAGCGGGCGUAAGCUUGUAUACAUUAGCAUGGAAUAAUAGA